UGUUUUACUUAAAUGACUUGUGCUAUUCAAUGUGGUGGUUUUAGAUUUAUAGUUCUUUUUACUAAUUUAUAUUUUAUUUCUUUUUUCUUUUUGUGAUCUAAGGCCGUGGAAAACUGAAGUUAUCUCAAAGAAAGACUUGGCAAGAGUGUAGCUGGAAGUAUCAAAGAGUAAGUUCAGAGUAUGGCAUAGGAAUGGAGGUGUCAACAAGUGGCGACAUCUAUAGCUAUGAAAUCCUGCUAUUUGAGAUGUUGAUAGGCAAAAGAUUGACAGAUGACAUGUUUAAAGACGGCCUGAACCUGCAUAAAUUGGUCAGAUAAGGCUUUGGCCUCCUUAUCCUAUUGGAUGGUGAUCAGAGCUGAGUCUUCUAGCCAUCCCGGUCAGCCAGCUUUUGAGCAAGCACUUGGAGCCUAUUAUUGAAGGGGAGCUUUUGAACGAGCACAUGGACACUAUUGAAGAGG
Long non-coding RNA from Rosa chinensis, 458 nucleotides. RefSeq lists it as uncharacterized. The transcript is spliced from 3 exons. Lineage: Eukaryota; Viridiplantae; Streptophyta; Magnoliopsida; Rosales; Rosaceae. The record is from RefSeq and is a predicted model, not a curated record.